RNAcentral lists this long non-coding RNA (397 nucleotides) under Homo sapiens (human). RNAcentral describes it as "HSALNT0360708". The record is from RNAcentral. Lineage: Eukaryota; Metazoa; Chordata; Mammalia; Primates; Hominidae.
CUAGUACACGGGAUGGAGGUGACCUUCUGCAUGAUGACUUCACUAGUACACGGGAUGGAGGUAACCUUCUGCAUGAUGACUUCUCUAGUACACGGGAUGGAAGUAACCUUCUGCAUGAUGACUUCGCUAGUACACGGGAUGGAAAACAUUCCGAUGUCUCCAUGGAUUUUACAGUGUGCUGCACAGACCCAUGGCACAGUGAGUAGAAAGUCAUCUAAGUGUCUAGUCUUCCUGGGUCAGCAGUAUAGAAUGCGUUCAGGAGUGUGUGACUCUUGUACACUUCAAAAGCCUGGAGACAAGUGCUUCCCAGCUGUGCUGCAGAAGUGGGCCCUGGGUGCAGAGCCGGAAGCUUCCAGAUUCUCUGCAUGGCUGACCCAGAGCUGCCUCCACAUCCCUG